GGGAGAGGCACCUAGAGCAGAGGCGUCUGGCUUUAAAUUCUGAGAGCCUGAGUUAUCGGCUGCUUUUUCGUGUGUGGCUCUUGCGACCUUCGACCUGUGUGCCGUGCUUUUCUGUUGCCUGGCACCUUUCCCGGUCAGUGUUGUACCUUUGUUGGGAUGAACUGGCCCUAAGCACAACUUCCGGUGAUCCUCAGCAAAAGUGGCUGCUUACUACUUACUGCUGGGUGUAUGCUUGACAGUUCUUUCCUCAUCAUACCCAAGAACCUGGAUUAUUAUUGGAUCAUUCAACUGCAACCCUUACUGAAUUAAUGGAUGUCACUUACUUGUGAGCUAAGAGCCCUGCAGUCCAGGGCAAGAUGAGCACAGAUGAUGCAAUGGGGACUCGGCCGAGGCAGCAGGUAAUCAGGAGCCGCCCGGUGGCCUCACUGUCCACCACUGGGCGAGGACGAGCGCAGGUCAAGGAGACCGGGAGGCCAGGCGGUGUCCUGGAGCAGGGUCCCCGGGGAGUUGAGAGUCCAGCACGAAGGGCAGAGAGGCCACUCCAGGUACAUGGGAUCAUGGGAUGAGAGGCAGCCAGAGCCAGAGAUAGCCAGAAGAAAGGUCUCAAGAAUCCCAACGCAGUGACCAGGUCCGCAGCAUGGAGACCGAGACUCUCCCUGGUUUGACCAUUCCAAGGGCUGAAAGGACUGUAACCAAAUUAGAGAUGUAUUCAUCCAUAAGAGGUACAACAGGCUUCCAGCCGACACGCCAGGUUGUUCAUGUCCUGCAGCAGCACUAAAACUCCAGCCAAGAAGUCAGAUGGUAUAAACCCUCAGAGGCCCGGAGCUUGGGAGAGGGGACGUGAGUGGUAGAGGAAUCUCCAGACUCCUGGCUGCCGGAGAGAGUAGAUGGAGGGGCCAUGGCUGACACAGCCAAGCCAGUCCCCCAGGGCGGAGGGGCACACAGAUGCAAGGCUUCACCCCGAGAACCCCAGAGGAGCUCAGACUGGGAGACUAGGUAUUGUGGGUGGUAGGGUCAGGUGCAGGGGCCAGUGGGGUUAAGGGACCAGGAAAAGUGGUUGAAAUCCUUCCCAGGUCCCGCCCCUGCAUGCAGUGGCACAUGGGCUGGCAGGAGGGUAAGUGAAUGGAGGGGUGAAAACAGGAAGAGAAUCAAGUGUGGAGCCUGAACAGUAGGAGUCAAUGUCCCACCCCCUUGCCUCCACUUGAACUGCCCUAGACCUAUACCACCCUAUUAAAUUUAAACAGGGCCGCCAGUUCUUCAACACUUCUCUCACUGAGAUGAGGGUCUGUCUUCUUCCUUCAGUCUGGCCUUUUUGUGACUAAAGUGGAAGUGAUGCUGCAUGACUUCCAAAACCAGGCCAUAGAACCUUGUGUAGCUUCCAUCUUACUGGCCAGAACACUUGCCCCUGGAGAUCUGAGCUAUACCACAUGAGUUCAGCAGCCUGGCCACUGUGCUAGGCAGGCCGUGUGUGCUCUCUGGUCAACGGCGCAGCUGAACCCAGCCUUCCAGCGAUCUUGGCCCAGUGAGUAAACCAUCUUGGAUGAAUCCUUCAGCCCCGGCUGCUCCAGCUCCCAGCCACCAUUCCAGUCACCCUCAGUCAUUCUAGUCAUUCUGGCUUAGCCCCAGAUACUGCAGACUAGAGAUGAGCUGAGCCCUGUCUGGGUCCCUGACGUGCAGCAUAAUAAAGUGGUGCAGCAGUUGUUUUAGGCCACAGAGUUUUGAUAACUAUACGGCAAUAGAUAACUGGAACAAGGAGACAGAACAUGUCUCUUAAGAGUCUGCAUGGCUCUAGAGAGGUGCUAAUUUCUUUUAAGAUUACUUCUGGGAAUUCAGUAGGAGUCCUUGCUUUUCUAACUCCCAACAGAGGUAAAAUGCUGGGUUGACUGAAGGUGGGUGAGGAGUCAGGCUCAGGGCUGGAGUCACAAGGCUGCUCUCUAGAUGUGCUAGCGCCAUGUUGUCUCAGCAGGAGAAGCCUGAGCGUGCUCAUUGUCAUCUCAGCCUGGGGUAGAUGGGCCUUAGCUCUCCAUGGCCACCAGCCUUCUGGCCUGAUAAAAUGACCUCUCCCUUCACCCAUUGUCUUUCCUUUACCCUCUCUGCCCUGCCUCUCUCUCAGCCCUCCAGAGCUCUGUCCCAGGGCUACAAAGCUGGCCGGCCUGCCAAAGGCAAAGGUGCUGCACCCCCAAC
This is a long non-coding RNA of Heterocephalus glaber (naked mole-rat), 2184 nucleotides long. NCBI's taxonomy places the organism in Eukaryota, Metazoa, Chordata, Mammalia, Rodentia, Bathyergidae. The record is from Ensembl.